UUUCUCUUCUGCUCCAGGGGAGGGUGGCACGAACUGCCAGAUGAAGGGGUAACGUGUGGACUUCGAAAGGCCAGGGGGGCAAGCCUCACGGUGCUGUCCUGACGGGGACACGGCCACUCCCACCCCGGGUUCGUGAAGUUGUUGAUUUCCAAAUACGGUGAGGCCUUUUCUUGGUCAAACAAAUAUUUCAAAUUUUAAACCAGAAGAUAAGGUAAAUAGCCGGGGGCUGUCUGGUCUCCUCAUGGGAUUCGCCAGCCGCCCGCCCCCGGGGGAGGCACGCAUGGGACUGCGUUUUCUGGGUCCUGAACAAAUCCCGCUGAUGGCCAUGAGCACCUUCCCCAGAAUACUCCAGCCCAGGCCACGUGAGCUGUUGCUGGGGUUCCUGGUGCAGCCCUGCCAUUCCCGGGGCUGCCCUCUGGGGUGCUCAAGGGCCAGCACGGCUGAUAGCGCUGGUUCUUCUCCCCGGGUGACAGGGCAAUGGGGUAGGAGGCCUCUCUGAGGGAAAGAGUCAUCCACAAGAGGCCUGGGACUCUGGGACUCCUCUAAAGAUGGGACCCAGAACUCCUCAGACUUUAAAAAGAAGGUGGGAGCCCUUUUGGCAAUUUCUGAAUGAUAUUAAUCAAUGCACUGGGUAAGUGAUUGCCAUGUGUCAAACUGGCAGGUCCGUGGUCCCCAGUCAUUCACUUACUCAUCUAGGUGUCACAGUGGAGACAUCUGUAUCUGUGAUUCAAGUCCACAACAAGCUGACUUGAAGGAAUGGAAACUGUCCUAGGUGACCUGGGUGGGCCUGGCCCAAUCAGGUGGAGACCUUAAGAGAGAGCCGAGGCUCCCUGAAGAAGAAGGAAGGUGCCUGUGGACGCAGCCCCGGCCAUGCCAAGACCAGCCUGGGCCUGCCCCGUGGGUGCAGGACCCUCGCACCAGACCCCACAGUUGCCUAAGCAACUCUUUGUGGUAAAACCUGAAUACAGACCUCCUGCUCUGCUUCUUGGGUUGACCCCAAC
RNAcentral lists this long non-coding RNA (1001 nucleotides) under Marmota monax (woodchuck). Lineage: Eukaryota; Metazoa; Chordata; Mammalia; Rodentia; Sciuridae. The record is from RNAcentral.